This 367-nucleotide ribosomal RNA is filed under the name uncultured bacterium. RNAcentral's name for it is "bacterial SSU rRNA". It matches the Rfam family "Bacterial small subunit ribosomal RNA", at positions 71 to 422 of the family's 1533-position model. The record is from RNAcentral.
AAAGGGGCUUCGGCCCUGAGUAAAGUGGCGCACGGGUGAGUAACACGUAGGUAACCUGCCUCUAAGAUUGGGAUAACAUGUCGAAAGACGUGCUAAUACCGGAUGAGACCACAGUUUCCUCGGAAACAGGGGUCAAAGGUAGCCUCUAUUUAUAAGCUAUCACUUAGAGAUGGGCCUGCGUACCAUUAGCUAGUUGGUAGGGUAACGGCCUACCAAGGCAAAGAUGGUUAGCUGGUCUGAGAGGAUGAUCAGCCACACUGGAACUGAGACACGGUCCAGACUCCUACGGGAGGCAGCAGUGGGGAAUAUUGCGCAAUGGGCGAAAGCCUGACGCAGCAACGCCGCGUGAGUGAUGAAGGCCUUCGGG